GAAAUAUUCUGAUGUUUCAUUUGCGGAAAAAAAAAAAAGGGAAGGUAAAGCUGACUCAAUAGUGGCAACAGCGGGAUAGUGAAAAGUAGAUGGGAAUGAUCUUUAUCGGUGUUGAAGACAAAAAGAACAAGUAGAGAGAGCCGGACGUGACGGAUGUAAGAGACAGGAAGCCUAACUUCGCCUUGGCGAGUGGGAUAGGCACGCGGCGGUGGCGGCAGCGGCCGGAACGCAGUGACGUACUUCCGUUGGUGGGGUCGGCCGCGCGCACGCUCACUUCCGUCGCGCCUGCGCAGGUGGCCCCCUACUCCCGGUUGUGGCGGGUUUUCGGGACCCAUAUUACACAUGUUAGCCUUUCAUAGGAGUCUGUGCACUUUUAAUUCCUGAGGGCGAUGCGCUGUGGUGCAGCCGUCAGGGCCGGCCAGAAAGUCUGCAGGUGCCUGCUGUCUGGGUUUAGUCGAGUAGAUGGAGGGCAGUUGACGGAAGGGAGCGGCUCCUUUGUAGGGCCCUUGAGGUCGCACGGGGAGCUGCCCCCGGUGAGCGAGCUGAGAGAAGGCCCCGAGUCUGGCGGCGAGGAGAGCGAGGUGCUGGUAGAGAUCUGUCAGAAAAGGCGUUUCCUCAGUGGCACCAAGCGACAGCUUAGUCGAGAUUCUUUACUGAGCGGGUGCCACCCCGGCCUUGGCCCCUUGGGUAUAGAGUUGCGGAAGAACCUGGCGGCGGAAUGGUGGUCCACGGUGGUGGUGUUCAGGGAGCAGGUCUUCCCGGUAGACGCCCUCUACCAUGAACCAGGCCCUUCGCUGCCCGGGGACAGUGCCUUCAGGUUAGUUUCUGCAGAAACGCUACGCGAAAUCUCGCAAGACAAAGAGCUGAGUAAGGAACAGCUAGGAGCAUUUCUUGAGAACUUACUGAAAACUUCUGGGAAACUGCGGGAGAACCUUCUUCACGGCGCCUUGGAGCAUUAUGUUAAUUACCUGGAUCUGCUAAACAAGAGGCUACCUUUUGGCCUUGCUCAGAUUGGAGUGUGUUUUCAUCCUGUUUCUGAUACUAAGCAGACACCUGAUGGUGUUAAAAGAAUCGGUGAAAAGACUGAAGCUUCACUGGUAUGGUUUACUUCAGCAAGAACUGCGAGCCAGUGGCUUGAUUUCUGGUUACGUCAUCGACUCCUGUGGUGGAGAAAGUUUGCUGUGAGUCCAUCUAACUUCAGCAGCAGUGACUGUCAGGAUGAAGCGGGCCGAAAAGGAAACAAGCUUUACUACAAUUUUCCGUGGGGAAAGGAGCCAAUAGAAACCCUUUGGAAUCUAGGAGAUCAUGAACUUUUACACAUGUAUCCUGAAAAUGUAGCUCAAUUACAUGGCAGAGAUGGACGGAAAAAUGUGGUUCCUUCUGUUUUAUCCAUAAAUGGAGAUCUAGACCGAGGCAUGCUGGCAUAUCUCUACGAUUCUUUCCAGCUAACAGAGAACUCCUUCACAAGAAAGAAAGAUCUUCAUAGAAAGGUGCUUAAACUUCACCCUUGUUUAGCCCCUAUUAAGGUUGCUUUGGAUGUGGGAAGAGGCCCAACAGUGGAACUAAGACAGGUUUGUCAAGGGCUAUUUAAUGAAUUAUUAGAAAAUGGAAUAUCUGUGUGGCCUGGUUAUUUGGAAACUGUGCCAUCCUCAUUGGAACAACUUUAUUCAAAAUACGAUGAAAUGAGUAUCCUCUUCACAGUGUUGAUUACUGAAGCUACUUUGGAGAAUGGAUUAAUACAUCUGAGAAGUAGAGACACCACAAUGAAGGAAACGAUGCAUAUAUCCAAAGGGCCUCAGCCUCACAGGAAGAUCGAAUUCCUGGUCUCAGAUCAGCUGACUGCACUAACUGGCAACAUGGAAUGUCUAUACUGCAGUUGAGGGAGCAUCUGCAAACUGCCUUCUGCCUUCACAGCUGUGAACUGCUCCGUGCCUCAUUGAACCAAUUUCUCAGCCCUGAGAAUAGUGCAGCCUUCUGAACUGAAAGAGAGAAAAGGAACAUAAGAAAACUCUUUUUCCACAUGUUGUUUUGGUUUGGAGAUUCAAGCUUCAAAAUGAAAGAAUUCAGCAAGAGACAAAAUGAUAAGCAAGAAGUGGAUUUAUUCAGAGAGAAACACAAAAGGUUUCUCACCUCCGUUGCGUGGGAAGUGGCUUCUUUCUCCGGAGCAUGGCGCAAAAGCAGAACUAACUACCCGAAGCCUUCGCUCACUCUCAGGAUGCAGCUGGGGUGGACC
This is a non-coding RNA of Delphinapterus leucas (beluga whale), 2233 nucleotides long. The record is from RefSeq and is a predicted model, not a curated record. NCBI's taxonomy places the organism in Eukaryota, Metazoa, Chordata, Mammalia, Artiodactyla, Monodontidae.